This 1289-nucleotide long non-coding RNA is filed under the name Notechis scutatus (mainland tiger snake). Its description in RNAcentral is "lncRNA (ENSNSUG00000002258.1)". The record is from RNAcentral. Lineage: Eukaryota; Metazoa; Chordata; Lepidosauria; Squamata; Elapidae.
UUCUUAUAUUAUGAGCCAACCAGAGUCGGUCUGGAGUUGUUGCAGUGCCGAAUCUGGAUAAAUAAAUGACAUAAAAAUAAAGAAAACUGAUGAAUCACAUCAUGGCACAGGAGUAAUAUCCUUUAGUAAGAAAAGGCAUACAAUCUAUUUUUUUCCAAAAUACUCCUCAGUUUUAUACCGCUUUAGCAAUUGCAUCACCUUGAAAAAUCCUAUGUCUGGCAUCUAACCCAGAUUCUACAAGCAAAAUGAAUGAGAAAAAAAAAGAUUUUAAGUUUCUAAUAAGCAGAGCUCCAGAUUCUGCUUUGCCAUAGGGGCUUCAUCCACUUUAAGUGGCCAUUUUGAGGAAAAGAAAUGACAUGCCAACCAUUGAGACUAAGGAAAAGGCCUUUUGAUAUAGGAUACCCAAAGAACAUUUUACACUGCUGUCCCACAGCAUGGUAGAAAUACCUGAGCAGGUUAAUUUGUUUCAUUUUGUUUUUGUUGAUGAAAAUUUUCUCUUUUGCUCUAGGAAAGAGGUCUAUGCAAAGGCUCUGUGGUAAACAGUGAGGAAGAUAAAAAGAAAUAUAUCACUGUAGAAUGCCAUUUCUUCCCACGUCCGCCACCAGUUACAGGUGAACAGACUCCACAAUCCAAGUCUGCGCAGGAGGAGCAUCAUGAUGGUCGUGAAAGACACGGAGAUCGCCAUGAAGAGAGUGGACACCAUCACCACCACUCUGGUUCCCACCACCACAAACAUCAGAAACAGCAGGAGCCACACCAGCCUCACCCCACAGCUGAAAUCCAAGAGAUACAAUUAAAUCAAAAGAAAUUAGUGGGCAAGGUGAUCGUCCAUCCUCCUUUGAGCAAACAUUCAUUACAGGAAGUGCGAGAGCCCAACCCAACCUCUGGCUCCACUCUUGCUUCUCCAGAACAGGAAGCCGGGCCUCACUCAUCCAAGCCAAAUGGGCCAGCCAUUUCUCCUUUCCCCAGAGAGUUUUCACAAUCAGACCGAUGUCCAGGAGAUACUUUAGUAGUAAUCCCUGGCCUUGAACUGCCUUCCCGGCCAUAGGUUGAAACCUCCUAAACAAACAGGAAUGUACAACGCUGAUAGCUUAAUUCAGAGGAAACAUAGCAAAACUCUCUGGAUGAGCAGGAAAAGGAAGGGAGGGAAAACAUUCUAAAGCUCUUUCAUUACCAAAAAGUAUCUGGAAAUGUGGAUGUAGACAGUAUUGAUUUAGGUGAGCAUAUUAGAGAAUCCUUCUAAUAUUGAAGUAAAUAAAUACUGGCAAUUAAGCUCCCUUAAUUCCUGU